RNAcentral lists this ribosomal RNA (483 nucleotides) under uncultured Clostridium sp. RNAcentral describes it as "bacterial SSU rRNA". It matches the Rfam family "Bacterial small subunit ribosomal RNA", at positions 907 to 1392 of the family's 1533-position model. The record is from RNAcentral. Lineage: Bacteria; Bacillati; Bacillota; Clostridia; Eubacteriales; Clostridiaceae.
GAAUUGACGGGGGCCCGCACAAGCAGUGGAGUAUGUGGUUUAAUUCGAAGCAACGCGAAGAACCUUACCAGGGCUUGACAUCCCUCUGACAGCUCUAGAGAUAGGGCUUCUCUUCGGAGCAGAGGAGACAGGUGGUGCAUGGUUGUCGUCAGCUCGUGUCGUGAGAUGUUGGGUUAAGUCCCGCAACGAGCGCAACCCCUGUUGUUAGUUGAUACCAUUAAGUUGAUCACUCUAGCGAGACUGUCGGUGAUAAAUCGGAGGAAGGUGGGGACGACGUCAAAUCAUCAUGCCCCUUAUGUCUUGGGCUACACACGUACUACAAUGGCUAUUACAGAGGGAAGCUAAGCCGCAAGGUGGAGCAAAUCCCCAAAAAUAGUCCCAGUUCAGAUUGUGGGCUGCAACCCGCCCACAUGAAGUCGGAAUUGCUAGUAAUGGCAGGUCAGCAUACUGCCGUGAAUACGUUCCCGGGCCUUGUACACACCG